Molecule: ribosomal RNA, 497 nt
Filed under: uncultured bacterium
Lineage: Bacteria
Description: partial 16S ribosomal RNA
Rfam family: Bacterial small subunit ribosomal RNA
Source: RNAcentral
GAUGAACGCUGGCGGCGUGCCUAAUACAUGCAAGUCGAGCGAACAGACGAGGAGCUUGCUCCUCUGACGUUAGCGGCGGACGGGUGAGUAACACGUGGAUAACCUACCUAUAAGACUGGGAUAACUUCGGGAAACCGGAGCUAAUACCGGAUAAUAUAUUGAACCGCAUGGUUCAAUAGUGAAAGACGGUUUUGCUGUCACUUAUAGAUGGAUCCGCGCCGCAUUAGCUAGUUAGCAAGGUAACGGCUUACCAAGGCAACGAUGCGUAGCCGACCUGAGAGGGUGAUCGGCCACACUGGAACUGAGACACGGUCCAGACUCCUACGGGAGGCAGCAGUAGGGAAUCUUCCGCAAUGGGCGAAAGCCUGACGGAGCAACGCCGCGUGAGUGAUGAAGGUCUUCGGAUCGUAAAACUCUGUUAUUAGGGAAGAACAAAUGUGUAAGUAACUAUGCACGUCUUGACGGUACCUAAUCAGAAAGCCACGGCUAACUACGUG